CACGUAGGGUGCGAGCGUUGUCCGGAAUUAUUGGGCGUAAAGAGCGUGUAGGCGGCCAGGUAGGUCCGUUGUGAAAACUGGAGGCUUAACCUCCAGCUGUCGAUGGAAACCAUCUGGCUAGAGUCCGGAAGAGGAGAGUGGAAUUCCUGGUGUAGCGGUGAAAUGCGCAGAUAUCAGGAAGAACACCCGUGGCGAAGGCGGCUCUCUGGGACGGUACUGACGCUGAGACGCGAAAGCGUGGGGAGCGAACAGG
RNAcentral lists this ribosomal RNA (253 nucleotides) under uncultured bacterium. RNAcentral's name for it is "partial 16S ribosomal RNA". It matches the Rfam family "Bacterial small subunit ribosomal RNA", at positions 524 to 776 of the family's 1533-position model. The record is from RNAcentral.